RNAcentral lists this unclassified non-coding RNA (1376 nucleotides) under Zea mays. Its description in RNAcentral is "misc RNA Zm00001eb119550". The record is from RNAcentral. Lineage: Eukaryota; Viridiplantae; Streptophyta; Magnoliopsida; Poales; Poaceae.
GACGGGCAGCGGGUCGAUCUGGAACAGGUCGGUGAUGUCCUGGAAGAAGUCGUCCACCUGCUGCCACCUCGCCGGCGACGCCGCCUCCGCGUCGGACGGGCACUCGUCGGGGCUCGCCGCGGGGAACGGCUCCGGCAGCGGCGGCAGCUUCUCCUCGGGGAUGUCCGCCAGGAAGUCCAGCGUCGGCUCCGGGAAGUCGGCCAGCAGGUCGAAGUCAGUGUACAGCGGGGGGAAGUCGCCGCCGAAGCAGUCGUCGUUGGCGAAGAAGGGGUAUGCGUACACGCUGCUCCUGCUGCCGCCGACGCCGGUCGACUCGUCGGUCUCCGCGGCCGGCGCCGGUUUCUUGCAGGUGGCGUCGGCGGCCGCGGAGGACGGAGGGAACGUGCGGAGAACGGAGGUCGGCGAGGCCGCCGCGGCGUGGGACUCCUCGCCGGAGUCGUAGGAGGACGUGGCGGAGGACGACGCGUUCUUGGACGCCGGAGCCGGCGGCGGCUGCGGGAGGCGACCCGCGACCUCGUCGGGGACGGGGACGGGGACCGCCGCGUGCUCGAAGUUGGUGGUGGCGUCGGCCCCGCGGAGCUGGAUGGCGGCCGAGUCGUACACCUUGGCGGCCUCCUCGGCGGUGUCGAAGGUGCCGAGCCAGACGCGCACCCGGCGCCAGGGGUCGCGGAUCUCCGCCGCGUACUUGCCCCACGGCCGCCGCCGCACGCCGCGGAACCGGGGCUCGGCGCCGGCGCCGGCGCCGUCGGACUUCCUCUUCCGCCCCGGGAGGGCCAGCGGCCUGGGCCGCUCCCCCGCGACGGCCCUCGCGGACGCCGCCUCCUCCUUCACCGGCACCGCCCGCUGCAGCCGGAUCUCCUGCACGUAGCGCUUCACCCUCCUGCGCGCGGCCGCGCCCUCCGCCUCGUCGCCGGACGAGUCGGUCGCGUCGUUGUCGUCGCAGAAGACCCGCACCGUCCUGGGCCCCGCCGCCGGCGCGGAAUCCAUCGCCCGGGAAGUGACCUCGACGUGCUCCGUCCGCUUCACCGCCAGGAACAUCUCCUCCUCCAUGGGCCACAUCACUCCGCUCGCAUUUGACUCCGCAACCAAGCUUGGACACCCGACUAAAACCCCUCAAGAAACCCUCUUCCGACGCUUUGGUAUGUGGGGGAUGGCACGGGCACCCGACCUCCUACGCCCCGGAGGUGGAGUGGAGACGCGAGGCACCGGGCUUGGGUGUGGUGGGGGUGGGUGUCUCUGCCGGCAGCACCGCCGCCUGGCCUGCUGCCCUGCGUGGGUGCUUUGAUGCGCUCGCUGUCGCUGUUUGUUGUUGUUGCUGCUGCUGUGCUGGUAGGCUGAGCACCGGGAGUCCGCCCCACUUUUAUAGCAUCCCGGAG